RNAcentral lists this ribosomal RNA (465 nucleotides) under uncultured bacterium. RNAcentral describes it as "partial 16S ribosomal RNA". It matches the Rfam family "Bacterial small subunit ribosomal RNA", at positions 28 to 507 of the family's 1533-position model. The record is from RNAcentral.
GACGAACGCUGGCGGCGUGCUUAACACAUGCAAGUCGAACGGAAAGGCCCUGCUUUUGUGGGGUGCUCGAGUGGCGAACGGGUGAGUAACACGUGAGUAACCUGCCCUUGACUUUGGGAUAACUUCAGGAAACUGGGGCUAAUACCGGAUAGGAGCUCCUGCUGCAUGGUGGGGGUUGGAAAGUUUCGGCGGUUGGGGAUGGACUCGCGGCUUAUCAGCUUGUUGGUGGGUUGGCUUACCAAGGCUUUGACGGGUAGCCGGCCUGAGAGGGUGACCGGCCACAUUGGGACUGAGAUACGGCCCAGACUCCUACGGGAGGCAGCAGUGGGGAAUAUUGCACAAUGGGCGGAAGCCUGAUGCAGCAACGCCGCGUGCGGGAUGACGGCCUUCGGGUUGUAAACCGCUUUCGCCUGUGACGAAGCGUGAGUGACGGUAAUGGGUAAAGAAGCACCGGCUAACUACGUG